AUACGGAGGAUCCGAGCGUUAUCCGGAUUUAUUGGGUUUAAAGGGAGCGUAGGCGGACGCUUAAGUCAGUUGUGAAAGUUUGCGGCUCAACCGUAAAAUUGCAGUUGAUACUGGGUGUCUUGAGUACAGUAGAGGCAGGCGGAAUUCGUGGUGUAGCGGUGAAAUGCUUAGAUAUCACGAAGAACUCCGAUUGCGAAGGCAGCCUGCUGGACUGUAACUGGCGCUGAUGCUCGAAAGUGUGGGUAUCAAACAGGAUUAGAUACCCUGGUAGUCCACACAGUAGACGAUGAAUACUCGCUGUUUGCGAUAUACAGUAAGCGGCCAAGCGAAAGCGUUAAGUAUUCCACCUGGGGAGUACGCCGGCAACGGUGAAACUCAAAUGAAUUGACGGGG
RNAcentral lists this ribosomal RNA (393 nucleotides) under uncultured bacterium. RNAcentral's name for it is "partial 16S ribosomal RNA". It matches the Rfam family "Bacterial small subunit ribosomal RNA", at positions 523 to 918 of the family's 1533-position model. The record is from RNAcentral.